Molecule: ribosomal RNA, 562 nt
Filed under: uncultured marine eukaryote
Lineage: Eukaryota
Description: SSU rRNA
Rfam family: Eukaryotic small subunit ribosomal RNA
Source: RNAcentral
GGUUAAAAAGCUCGUAGUUGGAUCUCGGCAAGUAGAGGGCGGUAUGCUUCGUAGCAUUACUGCCCUAUUACUUGUAGUUUUGCCAGAGGUUCCUGGUGCUCUUAAUCGAGUGUCUAGGGAUGCUGGCAGGUUUACUUUGAAAAAAUUAGAGUGCUCAAAGCAGGCUAUUACGCUUGAAUAUUCGUGCAUGGAAUAAUAGAAUAGGAAGUUGUUUCUAUUUUGUUGGUUUUCGGAAAUCGACUUAAUGAUUAAUAGGGACAGUCGGGGGCAUUUGUAUUCAAACGACAGAGGUGAAAUUCUUGGACCGUUUGAAGACAAACUACUGCGAAAGCAUUUGCCAAGAAGGUUUUCAUUAAUCAAGAACGAAAGUUAGAGGUUCGAAGGCGAUUAGAUACCGCCCUAGUUCUAACCAUAAACGAUGCCAGCUAGCGAUCUGAGGACGUUUUUUUUGUAGACUCCUCAGGAAGCUUCCGGGAAAACCAAAGCGUGUGGGUUCCGGGGGAAGUAUGGUUGCGAAGCUGGAAACUUAAGGAAUUGACGGAAGGGCACCCCCAGGAGUGGA